Molecule: long non-coding RNA, 400 nt
Organism: Cyprinus carpio carpio
Lineage: Eukaryota; Metazoa; Chordata; Actinopteri; Cypriniformes; Cyprinidae
Source: Ensembl
GUCUGUUUCUCUCUUAUUCCGAGGUCACCGUGGCCACCAGAUCCAGUCUGUAUCCAAGUCAGAUGGUCACUGCAGUCACCCGGAUCCAGGACGUAUCCAGCCCAGAUGGUGGAUUAGCACCUAGAAAGGACCUCUACAGCCCUGAAAGACAGCGGAGACCAGGACUAGAGCCCCAGAGACAGAUCCCCUGUAAAGACCUUGUCUCAGACGACCACCGGGACAAGACCACAGGAACAGAUGAUUCUUCUGCACAACCUGACUUUGCUGCAGCCUGGAAUUGAACUGCUGGUUUCGUCUGGUCAGAGGAGAACUGGCCCCCCAACUGAGCCUGCCAGAGGCGACAGCGGCAAGGAACCAAAACUCCAUCAGUGACAGAAUGGAGAAAAAAACCUUGGGAGAA